AAAAAACCCCCUUUGACUGUAAUUUUCCUUUACCUACCCAAAUCCUAUAAAACAGCCCCACCCUUAUCUCUCUUUGCUGACUCUCUUUUCAGACUCAGCCAGCCUGCACCCAGGUGAAAUAAACAGCCAUGUUGCUCACGCAAAGCCUGUUUGGUGGUCUCUUCAAACAGACGUGCAUGAAAUUUGGUGCCCUGACUCGGAUCGGGGGACCUCCCUUGGGAGAUCAAUCCCCUGUACUUCUGUUCUUUGCUCCAUGAGAAAGAUCCACCUAUGACCUCAGGUCCUCAGACCAACCAGCCCAAGGAACAUCUCACCAAUUUUAAAUCAGACUGUACCCUGAUCUGGAAUUUAAGUAAGAAAGAUGAGUUUUACUCUUGCUUAUAUGUGAAAUAUACUAAGACAGUGCUUUUAAAACUUCAUUGCACUUACAAGGCAAUCUUGCUAAAAUGUGUAUUCUAUUCCAGUUUUUCAAGUGGUACCUGAGAUUCAGCACUUCUAAAAAGCUCCAAGGUGAUGAAGGUGCUGCUAGUUGGAGGCCAUACUUUGAGUUGCCAGAUGCUAAAAAUUCAACAGAUGGGGUAUGUAAGCAGAUAGUGUAGCAUAUUGAAAACAACUCUCAGUUUGAAUCAGAAGCCUGGGUCUGUGAUAUUAUGACACUAACUAGCUUAAUAUUUUGUGGAUUAUUGUGCAUGAAAUAUAUCCAUUUAAAUAUCAUACUUUCAAUUUAAAUUAUGGGUUUCAACUUUGCCAGGCAAAUAUAAUCAACAAUAUAUUCAAUAGUAUGCCACAGCUAAAGACACAAAUGAAAACAAUGAUCUCAGACUUUUGAUCCAGGUGCCAAGUUAGAAAAAGAAGUUAAAACAGUGUAGUUUAUUUCUGUUCAAUGUCCUGUAUAGGUGGAAACUAAUUUCAGGGUUAAUUUUUGGUUAAACAACUAGCUUGGAAAUUUAUAAUUAUUUGGGAUUGAGGACCAAACAAGGUGAGGCACGAUAAAGAAAUUAGAAGGGGAUCGCUAUGAAAAUCAAGAUGAAUAAAACGAAGGGAGUGUUUACGGGGAAGGACAAAAUCGAGACUGAGCAAGCUGUAGAGCAUUGAUUCUAAGUGCCAGGGAUGGCUUAUAAUCAGUACAGUUGUUGUGGUUUCUGGAUGCUUAUUUAAUGUUUUCUUAUCAAAAGAAUAAUUCUCUCAUGUGUAGUUUCUGAAAUGUGACAGCACUCCAGCACUUUGUUCUAAAGCAAGGAUAGUCUUCUCUCCCCACAGAAUGGUUUAUUAUUGUCAUCAUCAUCAUCAUCACCAUUACCAUCUCAAUUAUUUAAAAUAUUUUCUACUUUACUAAAAUUUAUAUGAAGUGCUGAAUAUAUAAUUUCCUCUUUAAGUACCCAUUUUAUGAUUUUGAUUUCUAAAGCAAUUUCUCCUGACCUUUUAGUUAUAUUUUCUUCUACAAAGAGGCAAAGUUUAAUUUUUUCUCUCAUGUGAAAUACACUCCAAUCUAUAUUUAGUAGAAGGUAGCUGUGGAAACAUUAGCUAUGAAUGUUUUGAUUCUUGUAAAUUAUAAAAUAAAAGUAUAAUAACGUAGGCUUAUUCUUUAAGUUCCACUGGGGAGAGAUUUUUGGUUUAAUAUUUUAGAGGUAUUUAAUUUCUAAUAGAGGAAAAUACUUGAAGAGAGGGGAGUUGUAAUACAUUUAUCUGCAUGUAUCUUCUUGUUAGCUGUGAUGAAAUAUUACAACAGGACCAAUAUAAUUAUUUAGUAGGAUUUAAUGGCAUCAAGAUUACAGCAAGAGUGUCGUCAAUGUCUGAGAGAAAAGGCACAGGACAAUUCAUGUAAUCUACUUUUUACCUCCUCACUAUGCCAGCAGCACACUUGGAGAGGAAUGUUAUAAUGGAAGAAGCUGCCCAGUCACUGAUUAAAAUGUAAGAAACUGUGCUCCAUUGCAGACAUCUCCUGUUAUGCGUUCAUGAGCAUAUAUGUGUUCUAGUAUGUGUAACCUUUAAGACAAUGAUGGAAUUUGAACCAUACUUUAGGACUGACACAGGUAAGAGAGUCUUGUAUUAAUAAGCUUCAAAAUAUUUUAUUGUAACUUAAAUUACCUCAGCAAUGAUACUGGGGUAGUCAGAAAAAAAAUUCACCUAAUUUUGAACUGAUUUUUUUUAAACUUUAGUAGCUUUGUGUUAGACAGAUAAUGUAAUCUGAGUUUCAAUUAACUUAUUUAUGGUAUGGUAGUAAAACUACCCUCUACACAGUGCUCUUGAUAGAGGUUUACUGAAACCUUUUCUCCAGACAAAAUCUGACAAAAUCUGAUAGAAUUUGUUGUCAGCAGAUGAACAUAACAGGAAAUGUUAAAAGAAGUUCCUCCCUGAAGAUGAAGAAAAAUGAAGCCAGAUGGAAAAUUGAAUUUACACAAGGAAUGACAGUGUCUAGAAUGAGAGUGGCUUCUACGCUUGGACCGACACAUGGAAAAUGGAAUCCCUUCUCCUGCUCCUUGCACUUCUGUAGGCACAGCUGCUGUUGCUACCUCAGGAGGCUGGGGCAGUAGAGCUGAAUGGCUGCCUUUCUGGGGCUGUUAGUUGUGAGUGUACCCCCACAUGUGGUAUGGCCUCCAUGCAUGGACUGUCCCAUGAAAGAUGGGUGUCCUCACCCUGUGCAGUGCUGCUGCUACUGAGAGUGGCAAGCCUGGGAGCUGCAUGUCUGAGACUGGGUGUCAACCCCUUACCACGUCACCACCAACACCAGUGUACACCACUCAGGACCAAGAGAAUCAUCCUGCUGCUGCUAUCUAUCACCUAUAUACCAUGCUUCUAUCACCCAUAUACCAUGCAAACUGCUCAGGACCCAAGAAUCUGCUCACCUACCUAGAUGAAUGUUGCCACUCAGGCCAUCUGAGCAAGCUAUCUGGAGGCUCAAGAAUCAGUCCAUCUGAUUCCAUUAACAUUGAUGACAGUGUAUUCUACCCUGGAGCACAAAAACAGGCAUGUUUACCCACUGCUGCCACCAUGGGGGUCUGAAAACUGGCCUACCUGGCAUCCUUGUUUGCCGCAAAAUUUUACCAUAGCCUCCACUAAUAACUGCACCCUGAACAACCUGAGGAAAUAACAGAUACCACUCAGGCUGUCACAGCUGAAAAAUCAUUCAGGGAUUACACUGUCUCAUGCACCCAGAAUAAAAGCUAAAAGGUCUUACCCAACCAACACUAUUAAUAUAUUUUCAGGAAAAAGUACCCACCUACAAAAGAAAAUUUGAAAAAAAAAUUAAAAAGCAAGAAAAUGUGACACCUACAAAAGGACAUAAUAAUUCCAGCAACAGAUCACAAUAUAAAAGAAAUUCAUGAAAUUCCAAAAAAAGAAUUCAAAAUUAUGAUACAAAAGCUCAGUGAAAUAAAAAAGAAUUCUGAAAAACAAUAUGAGGAAAUCAGAAAAAGAAUCCAAGAUAUGAAUGAUAAAUUUACCAAAGAGAUAGAUAUCAUAACAAAGAACCAAGCAGAAAUUCUAGAAUAAAGAACUCCGUGAAUGAAAUACAAAAUAUAUUUGAAAGCUUCAAAGACAGGCUAGAUGAAGCAGAAGAAUAUCAGAACUUAAAGACAUGUCUCUUGAAAUAACCCAGUCUGAAAACAAUAAAGAGAAAAAGAAUUUUAAAAGUAUAAAAAGUAUAAGUCAGACAACAAUCAAAAAAAAUAAUUUUAAAAAUAUAAAUAGGGGGCCAAAUGGCUUACUAUAAACAGCUGCCAUUACAGGUUCCCACCAAGAAGAACCAAAAUAGCAUGUGAAUCCUGCACUGGCAACUGAGGUAUCCAUGUUCUAUCAUCAGGACUGACUAGUAGGUUGACAUGACCCAUGGAGAGCAAAGAAAAGAGGGGUGAUGCGAUGGCUCACCUGAGAGCCACACCUGGCAAGGGGAGCCGCAACCCCCAGCCAAGGGAGGCAGUGAGUGAUUGUGCUACCCAGCUUGGUAAACCAUGCUUUUUCAAUGGAUCUGUGC
This 3973-nucleotide long non-coding RNA is filed under the name Homo sapiens (human). Its description in RNAcentral is "non-protein coding LNCPRESS2:5". The record is from RNAcentral. Lineage: Eukaryota; Metazoa; Chordata; Mammalia; Primates; Hominidae.